RNAcentral lists this long non-coding RNA (4916 nucleotides) under Sus scrofa (pig). Its description in RNAcentral is "lncRNA (ENSSSCG00030015677.1)". Lineage: Eukaryota; Metazoa; Chordata; Mammalia; Artiodactyla; Suidae. The record is from RNAcentral.
AGAAUGGAAAAGCUCACUGGUGUGGAGAGGGUGGUUGGGUUACCAGGCAAUACAGAAGGCGAGAUGUGAAACAGUCACUUUGGAGAAUGGAAAAGCUCACUCGUGUGGAGAGGGUGGUUGGGUUACCAGGCAGUACAGAAGGCGAGUUGGAGAUUUGUGGCUGUGAAUCGGAGUGAAACUACUCAGGAAAGUGCGUAGAAAAGAAAAUGAUAAAAUAAUGAUGGGACCGUCUUGUAAUAACCAUAUUGGAACAAAUAUUUCUCCUUGAGAGAUGUGCAAACCCUAGCUUAAAGAGAUUAAAUGUGGAGUUCCCGUCAUGGCUCAGUGGUUAGUGAAUCCGACUAGGAACCAUGAGGUUGUGGGUUUGAUCCCUGGCCUUGCUCAGUGGGUUAAGGAUCCGGCAUUGCCGUGAGCUGUGGUGUAGGUCACAGACGUGGCUCAGAUCCCACAUUGCUAUGGCUCUGAGCCGGGGGUUACAGCUCCGAUUUGACCCCUCGCCUGGGAACCUCCAUAUGCCGUGGGAAGUGGUCCUAGAAAAGGCAAAAAGACAAAAAAAAAAAAAAAAAAAAGAGAGAGAGAGAGAGAGAGAUUAAAUGUCUGGCUUGAGCCACAUGAGCAAAGCAUCUGACUCCAAAACUCGCGUUCUUCUGUCGCACCAGCAUCAAUGGAAGUGACUCAAAACAAGUACAGUCACAGAAAUAAGUAAAACUCAGACCCAUGACCACAUCUCUUUGGUAAAGAUGAAGCUGUCGCAGAACAUGGCUGAUGGACUUGAUGACAGUGAUUCAUGACAGAAUAACUGUUAAAGGGUUCUUAUAACAUGCACCCCCCAAAAAAUAUGGUUGAGAAGGUUGGAUGAAAAAUGGUGCUAACCCGGCAUGGUGGUUAAAAGGGUGGACUUGGAAUAAAGGAUAACUAGAUUCCAAGCUUGACUCUAAGAGCUACAAGCUCUGUGAGAGGAUAAGUAAGUUAACUUCCCAAAGUUAGUUUACUCAUCUGUGAAAUGGUCAGGACAGUAGUAUCCACCCUCACUGGUUUGUAGUGAGGAUUAAAUACAAUAAUUCGUCUAAAGAGUACAUUGAUAUAGUACAAUGUCUAGUUUAGAGUUAGGGCCUUAAAGUUAUACCACUCUUAUUACCAGUGAAAACUAAAAAUGCAGUGUCAGGAUGGGCUGCUGAAAGUUGUAUCAACAGAUACUAUAAUGUGAAGCCCAGCAGUUUUUUCUCAAAGGUGGGUUGAUACAGAAAUUCACACAAUAUUCUGGGUAUGAACCUAAGGUUGUUUAGCAAUAACUGCCACCAUAGAAUAGAAGCUUAAUUGACAAGACAGUAGGUUUGGCUCAUAAAACAGUUUGCUGCUGGCUAAAAAACAAACAACAGGAAACCUCUUGAGGCUUCAUGUAUAUUUAUUUAUGCAUGUAAAUAUCUUAUUUAAAAAUCUAUUCAGGAAAUAAAAGCAAAUAUGUGGCUGACAGAGAAACUAUAGAAAAUAUGAAAAAUUACAAAUUCGAAGUAAACAUGUUGAGUCAGCAACGUCAGUGAUUCUGAUCUUACCAUGUGGGUACAUCACAUUAUGGCAGCCUUUCAAAAGGCGAAGAGUUAGCUGGCUGCCUUUUCAUCAGCAGAGCCUGAACCUGUCCAUAUGCGGACAUUUUGGGCUUAGCUAUUGAGCCCCUUACUGUCUUAUCGAGUUUCGCUCAUGGUCAUACUAAAAUAAGGUCAUAAGGCAGCAGUUCUGGUAUUUCUGAUGCCUGCACAGGUUGAAUGCUGGUUCAUGCAGACCAAGGGCAAAAUUACAGAGUGCAGAAAUCCAAAAUUAAAGAGGAAGCCUGUGUGACUUGCAGUAGAGGAUUGCUUCUAAGUCCUGUGUUUUAUGGAGCUGGAUGACUUUUUAUAAUCGUGUGGAAUACUUGUGUUGAAUUAAAAAAACAAAGCUAUGCCACUCUGCCUAUAAAACUAUUUUACCUUUCCAGCCUGACUCUAGGAGGCAGGAUUUGCUGAGCUUAGGUCUCUGCUAAGGAAGACUCUAGCAUAGUUCUCCCUAAGCCCUGUGCCUCAUAGCUACCUGGUGGCUUUAAAAUGUUGUGAUGCCCUGAGACUCUUCUGAGAAAUGUAAAGCCAGAAUCUCCAGGGUUGGAGGCCAGGCAUGGGCAUGUUUAAUGAGUUCCACUGUAACUAUGCUGUACAUGUGCACUUGAAAGGCUGAGAACUGCAUCUAAAACAAACCUCCCAGAUUUCAUAAGCUACUCCAAAAUAUGUAUGUGUGUGUAUAUCCUACAUUCAUAGACAUAUACUCAUUUUCAUUAAAAUGUUGAGGAUUAUUUAAUGCCUACAGCGCUUAUGCUCCUGAGAGUUUGAGUAGGAAGUCAAAGUGGCUGUGGAUUUUUCUGCUGGGUCAGCAAGGUAUUUCAGAAGCUUAUCACAAAGCUCUUUAUCAGAUAAGAAUGUUUUCAGCAGUAAGCAACAGAAAACCCAUCUGAGUCACUUAAACAAAUAGAAGGGUAUUUUUCUUACAAAACUAAAAAACCUGAAAGUAGGUAGUCCCAGGCUCAUGCAGCAGUUCUGGUGAUGUUUCUUGUUUUCUUCUGACAUCUUUACCAUGUGGCUUAUUGCAUCAUGCUACAAUAUGGCUGCCCCUGCACCAGGCAUCACAUCUACGGGCAGGAGGAAGGAAAGGAAGAGUAGCACUAGCCAUGUCUUUAUUAGGAUACAAGAUCAUUACUCACAUUUCUUUUUUCUUUUUUUCCAGAACUAUGUUUUACAUCAAUCUUUUUGCUGCUAGGGAGGAUGGAAAAGUGACUGUUUAGUUUUUCUUGCCUCCACAGUCGAGAAGGACAGAGAGUUAGGAAUGGCCAAUCAGCAGUGACUGCCACGUUGUGUAUAUGCCUUGUCCACUAACUUCCCUGGCAUCAGGGAAGGUGUUUUAAUGCACUUCUCUGAAUCAUUCAGGUUUUUUUUUUUUUAUUACCUUCAAUGCCCUCAAUUUUAUUAAAAAUGGCAAUAGCGGCUACAACUAUCAUUUAUUGACUACCUACUGCAUGCCAGGCAUUGUGCUAGGUGAUUUUUGCCUCUAAUGCAGUUAUAAUAAUCCACCCUGUGAGGUGAAAAUCACUGUCCUUCUUUUACAGCUAAGUAACCAGCCUCUCUGAGGCUCAGAGAGGGUAAUUGGUUUUCCCAAGUCUACAGUUUAGAAAGUGAAGGAGCUGGGGUUUGAACCUCAGUGUCUUUGGCUCCAAAGCUUAUGCUCUUUUCCAGUGCAUGGGGGGAGCCUCUACACCUGAAUCAAAACUUGUCUUGAGUGACCCACACACAAAGGAAUAUAGAUUUUUCAUAAUCACUGCACUUUAUUUUUUUACAGCAGGCUCCAUCUAGUACCCACAUGCUGCCCCCUUACAAUUCCUUGAAGUCAUUCAGGAGAACAAAGUCAUCUUGUAGUUCCCUGCUGUGGCACAAUGGGAUGAGCGGUGUCAUCUCUGGAGCUUGGGAUGCAGGUUUGAUCCCUGGCCCAGCACAGUGGGUUAAGGAUCCAGCAUUGCCCCUACUGUGGCUCAGAUCUGAUCCCUGGCCCAGGCAACUCCAUAUGUGGUAGGGCAGCCAAAAAAGAAAGAAAGGAGGGAAGGGAGGAGGGAAGGAAGGAAGGAAGGAAGGAAGGAAGGAAGGAAGGAAGGAAGGAAGGAAGGAAGGAAAGGGAGAUUCUUGUUGUCGGCCCAUCUUUCCAGGAGUUUAGCAAGGUUUCUGGGAAAUACUGGGACUAGCAAUUUGAAGAGAAAGUGCUAUUACUUCUGGUCUAGAAAUUGAUUUUAUAGUGGCAGAGGCAAGGUCAAGCCUUGAUUCCUGGGGCAGACCUGACUGGGCGAUGGUUCUCUGUGACAGCAGGAUGCCCCGCAUGGCCCUUCUGCAGCCCUUGGAUCCCCGCCUGCCUCUAGGAGGCUGGGAGGCUGGUGCAGGGAGUGGACCCAGCUCUGGCAGAGGCGAGCCUUUCUUAGUCAAGUCUGAUUUAUAGGAGAUGUGACAAGAUACAGCAGAGAAAAUGACCUCAGGGCAGCUCCUUAAACAGGACUUUCUGUAAAAAGAGGAGCCAGCUGGAUUUGUGAGGCUUUCCUUCUGCUCCAGAAAAUCCCUAGAGACAUUUCCAUCCAGUGAUUUUUAAGCUAGGAUUCUCAAGCUUUAGAGACCAGCCUGUGAUCAGGGUCUAGGGUUAGGAUUCUCCAAAAAUGCUUUUGAGGGACCCUAUUGUGGGGUCUCUAGAACAGUCAGAGGCGAGAUGAGGGUGGGGGAGAGGGUGUAUUUCAAACGACGGAAGCCCAGGUAAGUAGAACAGCCUGUAUCUUCAGGCUUCUCAGUGCUUAGCAUUCUCUUGAGACCCAAAGCAAAUCAGAAAACAUUUUCCUGAUUUAGACUCUUGAAAAUACUGUUUUGCUUGUGAUGGUGUAUUCACUGCUGGUGAUCAGAGGUGACCCAGGGACAAUGCCUCUUCUGUCUCUCAAGGAGCUCCGGUAGCCUCUGGCUCUUGGAUUGGUGCCAGGCAGAUUCAGGACUUUCAGGCAACCGCUUGCUUAUUCCUCAGGCUUGGACAGCUUAGGCAGCCAGCCCCGUAAAAGGCCCCCAAGGGCCUGAGAGCCCACCUACACACUUACUCUUCUUUUUUGCUUUUUGGGUUUUUUUCUUUUUUUGGGCGGGGAGGAGUGCUGCACCUGCAGCAUAUGAAGUUCCCAGGCUAGGGGGUGAAUCAGAAUGGCAGCUGCCAACCUAUACCACAGCCACAGCAACGUGGCAUCCUAGCCAUGUCUGCCACCCACACCACAGCUCAUGGCAACGCCUGGUCCUCAUUGAGCAAGGCCAGUGAUCGAACCUACAUCCUCAUGGAUACUAGUCAGGUUCUUAACCCUCUGAGCCACAGCAGGAACUCCCACACUU